CACAACAAUAAGCGGAGGAAAAGAAACCAACAGGGAUUGCCCUAGUAACGGCGAGUGAAGCGGCAACAGCUCAAAUUUGAAACCUGGCGCUUGCGUCCGGAUUGUAAUUUGUAGAGGAUGCUUCUGGGCAGCGGCCGUUCUAAGUUCCUUGGAACAGGACGUCAUAGAGGGUGAGAAUCCCGUAUGUGACCGGCGCGCACCCUCCACGUAGCUCCUUCGACGAGUCGAGUUGUUUGGGAAUGCAGCUCUAAAUGGGAGGUAAAUUUCUUCUAAAGCUAAAUAUUGGCCAGAGACCGAUAGCGCACAAGUAGAGUGAUCGAAAGAUGAAAAGCACUUUGGAAAGAGAGUUAAAAAGCACGUGAAAUUGUUGAAAGGGAAGCGCUUCCAACCAGACUCCGCGGCGGUGUUCCGCCGGUCUUCUGACCGGUCCACUCGCCGCCGUGGGGCCAACAUCGUCUGGGGCCGCCGGAUAAGACCGGAGGAAUGUAGCUCAUUGAGUGUUAUAGCCUCCGGUGAUGCGGCGCGUCCCGGGCGAGGUCCGCGCUUCGGCAAGGAUGUUGGCGUAAUGGUUGGCAGCGGCCCGUCUUGAAACACGGACCAAGGAGUCUAACAUCUAUGCGAGUGUUCGGGUGUCAAACCCCUACGCGUAAUGAAAGUGAACGGAGGUGGGAGCUUCGGCGCACCAUCGACCGAUCCUGAUGUCCUCGGAUGGAUUUGAGUAAGAGCAUAGCUGUUGGGACCCGAAAGAUGGUGAACUAUGCCUGAAUAGGGUGAAGCCAGAGGAAACUCUGGUGGAGGCUCGCAGCGGUUCUGACGUGCAAAUCGAUCGUCAAAUUUGGGUAUAGGUGCGAAAGACUAAUCGA
This 863-nucleotide ribosomal RNA is filed under the name Zasmidium suregadae. RNAcentral describes it as "eukaryotic LSU rRNA". It matches the Rfam family "Eukaryotic large subunit ribosomal RNA", at positions 39 to 938 of the family's 3401-position model. Lineage: Eukaryota; Fungi; Ascomycota; Dothideomycetes; Mycosphaerellales; Mycosphaerellaceae. The record is from RNAcentral.